UCAAGAACAAUUCUAUGCAUAUCUUCCUGAUGAGGAUUCUACAAAUCACGUUAUUGUCAUUGUCUUCAUUUGCUGCCAAUCCUCUCUCUCUAGCUGUUGUUAUCUUGGCUGUUUUCUCAUUUGGGUUAAUGCUGGAUUUUUAGGUUCAAGUGCAGACCUGGUAAUGGCUUGUGGGCGUUGGCCAAAGCCAAAAUCAACAAUAAAGGGUUUUGGUUAUUGAUCCCCUGCCCCUUCUAUUAAUAAGGAUGUUGUUAUUGCUAUAUUUCUUGUACUAAUAUAUUCUGUUUGUUUUUGUAGUGGAUGAUUCUAUUUGGUGUUAGACUCAUUGACUGCUCCAUUUGGUUCACCAUAUCUCUUCGCCUCUUUCAUUAUUUUACAUCAUCAUUAAUUGUUGGUACCAAAGAGCAACACAAGCUUCAGAUGCGAAAUCUCAGUGUCCAGGUGAGAUGCUAUAAUAAGGUUCCAAUUGUAGUCUAGUUUUCUGCACAUAUGCAAGAGCAGUGAGAUUCCUUUCUCACUUAGCCUUUUGUCACGGUUGUUCAUCAAUUUAGUCAAGAGUAACUUUUUCACAACUUUCUUUUCCUUUUGCAGGAUUAGCUAUCUGCACCAACACAACUCUUUCUUGACACACAGGGUGCCGAAUGAGAAGCUGCUCCAUGGCCAAAAGCUUUAAACUUAUUCCCUUGAAAAUAUCCAUGUCAUCCGCACCAAGCAACAUUAUCUUCCCUUGAUCAGAGAACUGCUUAACAAGCUCUCCAACUUUUUCUUCAGUCUUUGGCAUGCUCAUUUAUUGAAUUCAUGAUUCUAACAGUAGCUUUUUGUAUAUCAAUUACACUAUGGUGAACUCAUUAGGAAAUCUCCUGAUUUAAUGCACGUAUAUUUUAUACUAUGCACCCUUUUAUUCCAAAUUCGGGCCACUGUUUGUAUGAUAGAUAGUGUAGGCUCCUGAGUAACUUUAUGUCCAGGUUAUGGUCUUUGAUAGCAUUAAUCAAACUAUACCUUAAUUCUUAAUCCGAG
RNAcentral lists this long non-coding RNA (1017 nucleotides) under Lupinus angustifolius (narrow-leaved blue lupine). Its description in RNAcentral is "long non-coding RNA (LANG_LNC003703)". Lineage: Eukaryota; Viridiplantae; Streptophyta; Magnoliopsida; Fabales; Fabaceae. The record is from RNAcentral.